Small nuclear RNA from Oryctolagus cuniculus (rabbit), 114 nucleotides. Its record names the gene U2. It matches the Rfam family "U2 spliceosomal RNA". Rfam says of the family: U2 is a small nuclear RNA (snRNA) component of the spliceosome (involved in pre-mRNA splicing). Complementary binding between U2 snRNA (in an area lying towards the 5' end but 3' to hairpin I) and the branchpoint sequence (BPS) of the intron results the bulging out of an unpaired adenosine, on the BPS, which initiates a nucleophilic attack at the intronic 5' splice site, thus starting the first of two transesterification reactions that mediate splicing. The record is from Ensembl. Lineage: Eukaryota; Metazoa; Chordata; Mammalia; Lagomorpha; Leporidae.
AUCGCUUCUCGGCCUUUUGGCUAAGAUCAAGUGUAGUAUUUGUUCUUAUCAGUUUAAUAAUAAGCAAGUACUGGAAAUAACUAGUGUUCAACAGUAGAAAUUGACAUAGCCACA